UACGUAGGGGUCUAGCGUUGUCCGGAAUCAUUGGGCGUAAAGAGCUCGUAGGCGGUUCGGCAAGUCGGAUGUGAAAUCUCCACGCUCAACGUGGAGGGGCCAUUCGAAACGGCCGUGACUCGAGUCCGGUAGGGGAGUGCGGAAUUCCCGGUGUAGCGGUGAAAUGCGCAGAUAUCGGGAGGAACACCAGUGGCGAAGGCGGCACUCUGGGCCGGAACUGACGCUGAGGAGCGAAAGCGUGGGGAGCGAACAGG
This 254-nucleotide ribosomal RNA is filed under the name uncultured bacterium. RNAcentral describes it as "partial 16S ribosomal RNA". It matches the Rfam family "Bacterial small subunit ribosomal RNA", at positions 524 to 776 of the family's 1533-position model. The record is from RNAcentral.